CCCGAGUUAGCUCUGACAAUUGCUUGCGAUGAAGCGUUGUUCAGAGC
Molecule: non-coding RNA, 47 nt
Organism: Izhakiella sp.
Lineage: Bacteria; Pseudomonadati; Pseudomonadota; Gammaproteobacteria; Enterobacterales; Erwiniaceae
Source: Rfam